GACGAACGCUGGCGGCGUGCCUAAUACAUGCAAGUCGAACGCAGUGGGGACGGGUGAGUAACACGUGGGUAACCUCCCAUCAGAGGGGAUAACACUUGGAAACAGGUGCUAAACCGAUACUGAUGGAUGGACCCGCGGUGCAUUAGCUAGUUGGUGAGGAAACGGCUCACCAAGGCCACGAUGCAUAGCCGACCGGAGAGGGGGAGCGGACAUACUGGGACUGAGAAACGGCCCAGACUCGUACGGUAGGCAGCAGUAGGGAAGCUUCGGAAAUGGACGAAAGGCUGACCGAGCAACGCCGCGUGAGUGAAGAAGGGUUUCGGAUCGUAAAACUCUGUUGUUAGAGAAGCGGUAUCUAACCAGAAAGCCACGGCUAACUACGGGCCAGCAGCCGCGGUAAUAC
RNAcentral lists this ribosomal RNA (403 nucleotides) under uncultured bacterium. RNAcentral's name for it is "partial 16S ribosomal RNA". It matches the Rfam family "Bacterial small subunit ribosomal RNA", at positions 28 to 526 of the family's 1533-position model. The record is from RNAcentral.